UAAUACGUAGGGGGCAAACGUUGUCCGGAUUUACUGGGUGUAAAGGGUGCUCAGGCGGUUUUGUAAGUCAGAAGUGAAAUCCUAGAGCUUAACUCUGGAACUGCUUUUGAUACUGCAAGGCUUGAAUGUGGAAGAGGAGGAUGGAAUUUCUGGUGUAGCAGUGAAAUGCGUAGAUAUCAGAAAGAACACCAGUGGCGAAGGCGGUCCUCUGGUCCACUAUUGACGCUAAAGCACGAAAGCGUGGGGAGCAAACAGGAUUAGAUACCCUGGUAGUCCACGCCUUAAACGAUGAAUACUAGACGUUGGGGUUAAACUCAGUGUCGCAGCUAACGCAUUAAGUAUUCCACCUGGGGAGUACGAUCGCAAGGUUG
Molecule: ribosomal RNA, 371 nt
Filed under: uncultured bacterium
Lineage: Bacteria
Description: bacterial SSU rRNA
Rfam family: Bacterial small subunit ribosomal RNA
Source: RNAcentral